RNAcentral lists this long non-coding RNA (335 nucleotides) under Hordeum vulgare. RNAcentral's name for it is "long non-coding RNA (HVUL_LNC019706)". The record is from RNAcentral. Lineage: Eukaryota; Viridiplantae; Streptophyta; Magnoliopsida; Poales; Poaceae.
CUCAUGAUCCAAGGAACCUUACUCCAAGAGAAGAGGCGAACAACCAAUACAAUCAUUCCGCAUUGUUCAUCCUUCAAUCCGCGGUUCCACCAGAAGAUCUUCCUCACCGGCGGCCGUUCACUCGUGCAAAAGAGUGUUGGGUGGACAUCAUGGUGCUAUACAAGGGAAGCUCAAGCAUUCUAUGAUCAAACUUUGAAGUGGUCCUUGAUCAAGCCGAUGACUUAGUGAUGCUAGAAGAUGAGGACCCGUGUGAUCUCUAUCGGCGGGUGAUUGCCCUCGUUGUUGCUCCAAGAUCAUGGGAACAAAGAUACAUAUGACACGUGGAUCAAGCACAA